AAUGGCUCAUUACAACAGCCACUGUUCACUUGAUCUGUACAUUAUCCUACUUGGAUAACUGUGGCAAUUCUAGAGCUAAUACACGCACACAUGUCCUGACCGCAAGGGACGGACGCAUUUAUUAGAACAAAACCAAUCGGGCCUUGUGCCUGUUCGUUUGUGACUCUGAAUAACUUUGCUGAUCGUACGGUCUUUGUACCGACGACGCAUCUUUCAAGUGUCUGCCUUAUCAACUUUCGAUGGUAGUUUCUGUGCCUACCAUGGUUGUAACGGGUAACGGAGAAUCAGGGUUCGACUCCGGAGAGGGAGCCUGAGAAACGGCUACCACAUCCAAGGAAGGCAGCAGGCGCGCAAAUUACCCACUCUCAGCGCGAGGAGGUAGUGACGAAAAAUAACGAGUCGGUUCUCUAUGAGGCCCGAUAUCGGAAUGGGUACAAUUUAAACCCUUUAACGAGGACCUAUGAGAGGGCAAGUCUGGUGCCAGCAGCCGCGGUAAUUCCAGCUCUCAAGGUGUAUAUCGCCAUUGCUGCGGUUAAAAAGCUCGUAGUUGGAUCUGCGCCUGUGGACGUGGUCCGCCCAAGUGGUGAGAACUGCGCUCCCGGGCUUAUCUGCCGGUUUUCGUGCGAUGCUCUUCAUCGGGUGUCGUGCGUGGCUGGCGAGUUUACUUUGAAGAAAUUAGAGUGCUCAAAACAGGCGUUUCGCCUGAAUAGUUGUGCAUGGAAUAAUGGAACAGGACCUCGGUCUGUUUUGUUGGUUUCGGAACUGAGAUAAUGGUUAAGAGGGACUGCUGGGGGCAUUCGUAUCGC
This 806-nucleotide ribosomal RNA is filed under the name Leptolaimidae sp. 1 TJP-2019. RNAcentral describes it as "SSU rRNA". It matches the Rfam family "Eukaryotic small subunit ribosomal RNA", at positions 92 to 900 of the family's 1831-position model. The record is from RNAcentral. Lineage: Eukaryota; Metazoa; Nematoda; Chromadorea; Plectida; Leptolaimidae.